CUGCAUCUCUUAGUGCAGUCAGUGAGUCUAGUUUGUCUUCCAGUUCAUACUAACCUACCUUGUGAAAAGGAAGGGUCACAUAAUGAAUUGUGUACUUUACAGUCUUCUCUAACAAAAGUGGGAGCUCUUCCAUAGUGGGAUACUGUUCAGGCUCUCAUUCAAUCAUUACUGAGCACCUACCACGUGUCAGGCAUUAGCUGAACUGCUGGGAAUUCAGGGGUGAGGCAGACCCAAUCCCUGCCCUCACCCUUAACAUCUCCUGUAGCCUAGCCCAAUGUCUAGCCCAGGGCCUGGCACAGUAGGGCUUACGGAUGGCAAUCUCAUUGGAAAGUUUGUCUUGAAACUGCCUUUGCAAAACAAACACUGCUUUAACUUACCUUCUAUGCUAAAUAUAUUAAUAAACAUUUUCUCAA
RNAcentral lists this long non-coding RNA (413 nucleotides) under Pan troglodytes (chimpanzee). RNAcentral's name for it is "lincRNA". The record is from RNAcentral. Lineage: Eukaryota; Metazoa; Chordata; Mammalia; Primates; Hominidae.